This 71-nucleotide transfer RNA is filed under the name Loxodonta africana (African savanna elephant). It matches the Rfam family "tRNA". From Rfam's summary of the family: Transfer RNA (tRNA) molecules are approximately 80 nucleotides in length. Lineage: Eukaryota; Metazoa; Chordata; Mammalia; Proboscidea; Elephantidae. The record is from Rfam by way of RNAcentral.
GUUUUGGUGGUUCAGGGGUAGAAUUCUCGCCUUCCAUGCAGGAGGCCUGGGUUCAAUUCCUGGCCAGUGCA